Molecule: ribosomal RNA, 465 nt
Filed under: uncultured Abiotrophia sp.
Lineage: Bacteria; Bacillati; Bacillota; Bacilli; Lactobacillales; Aerococcaceae
Description: bacterial SSU rRNA
Rfam family: Bacterial small subunit ribosomal RNA
Source: RNAcentral
CCUACGGGAGGCAGCAGUAGGGAAUCUUCCGCAAUGGACGCAAGUCUGACGGAGCAACGCCGCGUGAGUGAAGAAGGUCUUCGGAUCGUAAAGCUCUGUUGUUAGAGAAGAACAGCGCAUAGAGUAACUGUUAUGCGUGUGACGGUAUCUAACCAGAAAGCCACGGCUAACUACGUGCCAGCAGCCGCGGUAAUACGUAGGUGGCGAGCGUUGUCCGGAUUUAUUGGGCGUAAAGGGAGUGUAGGCGGUCUUUUAAGUCUGAUGUGAAAGCCCACGGCUCAACCGUGGAGGGUCAUUGGAAACUGGGAGACUUGAGUGCAGAAGAGGAGAGCGGAAUUCCAUGUGUAGCGGUGAAAUGCGUAGAUAUAUGGAGGAACACCAGUGGCGAAGGCGGCUCUCUGGUCUGUAACUGACGCUGAGGCUCGAAAGCGUGGGGAGCAAACAGGAUUAGAUACCCCAGUAGUC